This 440-nucleotide ribosomal RNA is filed under the name uncultured bacterium. RNAcentral describes it as "partial 16S ribosomal RNA". It matches the Rfam family "Bacterial small subunit ribosomal RNA", at positions 338 to 795 of the family's 1533-position model. The record is from RNAcentral.
CCUACGGGCGGCAGCAGUGGGGGAUAUUGCACAAUGGGGGGAACCCUGAUGCAGCGACGCCGCGUGGGUGAAGAAGCGCCUCGGCGCGUAAAGCCCUGUCAGCAGGGGAGAAAAUGACGGUACCUGAAGAAGAAGCACCGGCUAACUACGUGCCAGCAGCCGCGGUAAUACGUAGGGGGCAAGCGUUAUCCGGAUUUACUGGGUGGAAAGGGGGCGCAGACGGCGAUGCAAGCCAGGAGUGAAAGCCCGGGGCCCAACCCCGGGACUGCUCUUGGAACUGCGUGGCUGGAGUGCAGGAGGGGCAGGCGGAAUUCCUGGUGUAGCGGUGAAAUGCGUAGAUAUCAGGAGGAACACCGGUGGCGAAGGCGGCCUGCUGGACUGCAACUGACGUUGAGGCCCGAAAGCGUGGGGAGCAAACAGGAUUAGAUACCCCAGUAGUC